AUUGAACGCUGGCGGCAGGCUUAACACAUGCAAGUCGAGCGGGGGAAGGUAGCUUGCUACCGGACCUAGCGGCGGACGGGUGAGUAAUGCUUAGGAAUCUGCCUAUUAGUGGGGGACAACAUCUCGAAAGGGAUGCUAAUACCGCAUACGUCCUACGGGAGAAAGCAGGGGAUCUUCGGACCUUGCGCUAAUAGAUGAGCCUAAGUCGGAUUAGCUAGUUGGUGGGGUAAAGGCCUACCAAGGCGACGAUCUGUAGCGGGUCUGAGAGGAUGAUCCGCCACACUGGGACUGAGACACGGCCCAGACUCCUACGGGAGGCAGCAGUGGGGAAUAUUGGACAAUGGGGGGAACCCUGAUCCAGCCAUGCCGCGUGUGUGAAGAAGGCCUUAUGGUUGUAAAGCACUUUAAGCGAGGAGGAGGCUACUCUAGUUAAUACCUAGGGAUAGUGGACGUUACUCGCAGAAUAAGCACCGGCUAACUCUGUGCCAGCCGCCGCAGUAA
This 501-nucleotide ribosomal RNA is filed under the name uncultured bacterium. Its description in RNAcentral is "partial 16S ribosomal RNA". It matches the Rfam family "Bacterial small subunit ribosomal RNA", at positions 30 to 523 of the family's 1533-position model. The record is from RNAcentral.